Talpa occidentalis (Iberian mole) is the source of this 524-nucleotide long non-coding RNA. RefSeq lists it as uncharacterized. NCBI's taxonomy places the organism in Eukaryota, Metazoa, Chordata, Mammalia, Eulipotyphla, Talpidae. The transcript has 3 exons. The record is from RefSeq and is a predicted model, not a curated record.
GAGACUAUAAGGAGAUAUGGCAAGGGGUACUGCGAGAGGAGCAGAGAGAAGGCCAGGGAAGUAAGAAAGACAGGGAAAAGAAAGAUAUGUAAAAGUAGGAAAAGGAUAAAGGAAAAAUAAAGAAGCAAACGCUAGGGUCAAGUUGUCUCAAGCCCCUCAUUUCAAGCCUCAGCCCUUCUCUUUUCGUGCCUCCGAAUCCCGCGGGUCGGGACAUUAAAGGAGUCAGACAAUAGGAUAGAAGCACUUCCAGAAUGACAAAGAUCUCUGAAAAUCUACUCCUCCAUAAAAGUAACAAGAACACUGGCAAAAGUUGUCGAAAUCAACUUUUUCAGAACUCUGAAAAGUAAUCAAAGGCUUGCUAAACUUCAAGGAAGAUUUAUCCAAGGAAAACAGCUGAAUCUAAGAAGAAUCUAGGGCAAAGUGUGAAUGCAGUCCUCCACUUCUACAAAUUAUGCAUUCAAUUUUCCCACAUUUGGGGAAAUCACAGAGGUCAGCACAUCCAGAGUACAACGGCUGAGCCUCAC